CAGGAGACAGUUCUCGCUUUCUGGUCUGGCUCGGGAGACUCGAGAGGGGGUCCAUCUUUGGCCAUAAGUGGUGAGUUCUGUCCAGCAUCAGGGUUUGGAUGGUGGCUUUAGACUCUCCAAAGAUCA
Hippopotamus amphibius kiboko is the source of this 126-nucleotide small nucleolar RNA. RefSeq annotates it as small nucleolar RNA SNORA56. The record is from RefSeq and is a predicted model, not a curated record. The transcript has a single exon. NCBI's taxonomy places the organism in Eukaryota, Metazoa, Chordata, Mammalia, Artiodactyla, Hippopotamidae.